Molecule: ribosomal RNA, 426 nt
Filed under: uncultured bacterium
Lineage: Bacteria
Description: partial 16S ribosomal RNA
Rfam family: Bacterial small subunit ribosomal RNA
Source: RNAcentral
GUGAGGAAUUUUCCGCAAUGGGCGAAAGCCUGACGGAGCAAUGCCGCGUGAAGGAUGAAGGCCUAUGGGUUGUAAACUUCUUUUCUCAGAAAAGAAUUAUGACGGUAUCUGAGGAAUAAGCAUCGGCUAACUCUGUGCCAGCAGCCGCGGUAAGACAGAGGAUGCAAGCGUUAUCCGGAAUGAUUGGGCGUAAAGCGUCUGUAGGUUGUUUAAAAAGUAUUCUGUCAAAGAUUAGGGCUUAACCCUAGAUAGGCAGAAUAAACUUUUAAGCUAGAGUUUGGUAGAGGCAGAGGGAAUUCCCGGUGGAGCGGUGAAAUGCGUAGAUAUCGGGAGGAACACCAAAGGCGAAGGCACUCUACUGGGCCAAUACUAACACUGAGAGACGAAAGCGAGGGGAGCAAAUGGGAUUAGAUACCCCUGUAGUCC